UACGGGAGGCAGCAGUGGGGAAUAUUGCACAAUGGGCGCAAGCCUGAUGCAGCCAUGCCGCGUGUAUGAAAAAGGCCUUCGGGUUGUAAAGUACUUUCAGUCGUGAGGAAGGUGUUAAGGUUAAUAACCUUAGCAAUUGACGUUAGCGACAGAAGAAGCACCGGCUAACUCCGUGCCAGCAGCCGCGGUAAUACGGAGGGUGCGAGCGUUAAUCGGAAUUACUGGGCGUAAAGGGCACGCAGGCGGUUAAUUAAGUUGGAUGUGAAAUCCCCGGGCUUAACCUGGGAAUGGCAUUCAAGACUGGUUAGCUAGAGUCUUGUAGAGGGGGUAGAAUUCCGAUGUGUAGCGGUGAAAUGCGUAGAGAUGUGGAGGAAUACCGGUGGCGAAGGCGGCCCCUGGACAAAGGACUGACGCUCGAUGUGCGAAAGCGUGGGGAGCAAACAGGGAUUAGAUACC
This 456-nucleotide ribosomal RNA is filed under the name uncultured bacterium. RNAcentral describes it as "bacterial SSU rRNA". It matches the Rfam family "Bacterial small subunit ribosomal RNA", at positions 340 to 786 of the family's 1533-position model. The record is from RNAcentral.